RNAcentral lists this ribosomal RNA (498 nucleotides) under uncultured bacterium. Its description in RNAcentral is "partial 16S ribosomal RNA". It matches the Rfam family "Bacterial small subunit ribosomal RNA", at positions 29 to 523 of the family's 1533-position model. The record is from RNAcentral.
AUUGAACGCUGGCGGCAUGCUUUACACAUGCAAGUCGAACGGUAACAGGCCGCAAGGUGCUGACGAGUGGCGAACGGGUGAGUAAUGCAUCGGAACGUGCCCAGUCGUGGGGGAUAACGCAGCGAAAGCUGUGCUAAUACCGCAUACGAUCUAUGGAUGAAAGCGGGGGACCGUAAGGCCUCGCGCGAUUGGAGCGGCCGAUGUCAGAUUAGGUAGUUGGUGGGGUAAAGGCUAACCAAGCCAACGAUCUGUAGCUGGUCUGAGAGGACGACCAGCCACACUGGGACUGAGACACGGCCCAGACUCCUACGGGAGGCAGCAGUGGGGAAUUUUGGACAAUGGGCGCAAGCCUGAUCCAGCAAUGCCGCGUGCAGGAAGAAGGCCUUCGGGUUGUAAACUGCUUUUGUACGGAACGAAAAGGUCUGGGUUAAUACCCUGGGCCGAUGACGGUACCGUAAGAAUAAGCACCGGCUAACUACGUGCCAGCAGCCGCGGUAA